ACCAGCAGCUAUAUCACCCUGCAGCUCACAGCUGGCAGCCCACUGAAGCUCAGCAGGUGUGAGCCUGGUCAGUACCUGGAUGGGAGACUCAUGGGAAAAAACAGGUUUCUGCUGGAA
Lepisosteus oculatus (spotted gar) is the source of this 117-nucleotide ribosomal RNA. NCBI's taxonomy places the organism in Eukaryota, Metazoa, Chordata, Actinopteri, Semionotiformes, Lepisosteidae. The record is from Ensembl.